UAUCCACUAAAUAUCCCACAUCGCUUAGCAACAAAAUAAAGUAACCUUUUAUAUAGCUGAAGCAGCUCCCACGGGUUGUCCCUUCGGGGACAUCCGAUAAAAUUGGAACGAUACAGAGAAGAUUAGCAUGGCCCCUGCGCAAGGAUGACACGCACAAAUCGAGAAAUGGUCCAAAUUUUUUUUUAAAAUUUUUGGGUGUUUUUAGUUUCUGUUCUCUGUUUUCUUUGGUUUUCUUUAGUUUUUCUGGGUUUUUUUUUUAAAAUUCAUGUUUUCUUUGCAUUUUCCGAUUUUUCCUGGGUUUUUUACAACUGCGAUAGCUGGUAAAUGUAGUAAAUGUUAUUUUUCUGAUAUUGAGCAUAAGCCCAUGGCCGUUGUUUUGAGCCCAUACAUUGGGAUAGUCAGAGUGAGGUAGGCUGGUUCAUGAUUUAGUUGGUAUCCAACUAAAUAUCCCACAUCGCUCAGCGAUACAAUAACUCAACCUUUUAUAUAGCUGAAGCAGCUCCCAGGGGUCGUACCUUCGGGGACAUCCGAUAAAAUUGGAACGAUACAGAGAAGAUUAGCAUGGCCCCUGCGCAAGGAUGACACGCACAAAUCGAGAAAUGGCUAUGUGCUACUCUAUUACCAUGCCUGUGGAUGAAUGCAGACUCAAAUAAGGGCAUCAAUGCUCAUGUCUCACUUAUAUAGAUGUCAACAGAGGACAGGUCCAUAGUGUUGCUCGGAAGCCUGGAAAUGAUGCCAGGUGAAUCACUUUUGAUAAUAACAAUUUGAAGCCUGGAAAUGAUUGUCAGUUUCUCACUUUGAAUCCAUAAAGGUUGUCCCUUCAAAGAAAAUCUUAGUGGGAAACAUGACCUAAUUUGCUUCAGCCUUUAGUUGUUGUUUUCUAUCAUACAGAGGCCUUGCUCGGUGCGACAUGAGCUAAAUUUUGCAGGUUUCUGUAUCUGUUUACUUUUGUAUUUGUAUGCUUAGCUUGGUGCUCGACUUCAUCGAUUUUACUCGCUUGAUAUUGCAAAUUAGAAUGUUUUUACAGGCUGGGUCUAUUCUACUCUAUUAAGUAGUAAAUUCGAUACGAGAUGUCUUUUUUCGGUGUUUUCUGAACGAGCUUCUGUCCCCUUUUUUUUUUUUUUCUAUUUUUCUAACUCUGAUAUGUGGUGUAAUUGGGUUAAGAGAUCCUUUUACAAUUUAAUUAAAAGAUUUUACGUAGCUGGUUUAUGCUUGCCGUACAAGUAAGUAUGAACCUUUAUGAAUGUUGAAUAUUAUGGCUUCAUUUAUGGAUUGAAAUUAUCAUUUUUAUCUCACGUCUUUAUAUAUAUUUAGUCACAAAAUAUUCGUAGUCUAUCAGUGCUAAUUUUCUGGUACAUUUAUAAGAAUUGAGGAGCGAGUUUUAAUAGGAAGGCACAAAGAUUAAAGGUCAAGUUGACAACUUGACAUGCUUCCAUAGAGGGAAUCUUUGCAACGCCUGAAAGAGAAUAUUCAUACAGUCACGCCUGAAAGAGCAUAUUAAUACAGUCAUCUAAACUCUGAUGGUGUGGUUCGGGAAAUCAGUCGUCGUACUAAAUCUUUUAUUUCGAAGCUGCUUGGUCGGUGCAUGUACAAGCAGGGUUGGCACCUUCGAAGGUUGAAGUCUUUGUGUGGCAAUGAGUUGGCUAGACAUGGGAUAUGCUUUUCGGAACACUGGUGCUAUGUGGGAGACCCCAUGUCGUUCGUGGUUCUUGAUGUGGCCAGAUGCUUGCCUUUCGCGGCUGAGUGUAACAGAGGAGUUUGGAAUAUGAUGUUACUUGCAAUUGUUUUGGUCCAUGCGGCUUUACAGGAACAACAUUAGUUUUAGUGGUGAAAUUGUGGACAGUUCUGCAAUUGUUUUAAUGAAUGUUCAAAACUCAGACUUGCCUGCUGGAUUUAUAUGCCAAAUGUGGUGAUGAAAAACAAUAUUGAGUGAGCUUUGUUAUCUAUUUAGAGUUUUGACCUGGUCUGACUAUGCAUUUUAUUGGGGUUGCCAAA
Gossypium arboreum is the source of this 1995-nucleotide long non-coding RNA. RefSeq lists it as uncharacterized. The record is from RefSeq and is a predicted model, not a curated record. NCBI's taxonomy places the organism in Eukaryota, Viridiplantae, Streptophyta, Magnoliopsida, Malvales, Malvaceae. The transcript is spliced from 3 exons.